This 253-nucleotide ribosomal RNA is filed under the name uncultured Eubacteriales bacterium. RNAcentral's name for it is "uncultured Clostridiales bacterium partial 16S ribosomal RNA". It matches the Rfam family "Bacterial small subunit ribosomal RNA", at positions 524 to 776 of the family's 1533-position model. The record is from RNAcentral. Lineage: Bacteria; Bacillati; Bacillota; Clostridia; Eubacteriales.
UACGGAGGAUUCAAGCGUUAUCCGGAUUUACUGGGUGUAAAGGGAGCGUAGACGGUGCAGCAAGUCUGAUGUGAAAGGUCGGGGCCCAACCCCGGGACUGCAUUGGAAACUGUUGAACUGGAGUACAGGAGAGGUAAGUGGAAUUCCUAGUGUAGCGGUGAAAUGCGUAGAGAUUAGGAAGAACACCAGUGGCGAAGGCGACUUACUGGACUGUAACUGACGCUGAGGCAUGAGAGCAUGGGGAGCAAACAGG